CGGGGUGUAGCGCAGUCCGGUUAGCGCGCCUGCUUUGGGAGCAGGAGGUCGGCGGUUCGAAUCCGCCCACCCCGA
RNAcentral lists this transfer RNA (75 nucleotides) under bacterium. RNAcentral describes it as "tRNA-Pro". It matches the Rfam family "tRNA". From Rfam's summary of the family: Transfer RNA (tRNA) molecules are approximately 80 nucleotides in length. Their secondary structure includes four short double-helical elements and three loops (D, anti-codon, and T loops). RNAcentral also lists the same sequence under 2 other names. The record is from RNAcentral.